UUCCUACGGGGGGCAGCAGUGGGGGAUAUUGCACAAUGGGGGGAACCCUGAUGCAGCGACGCCGCGUGGGCGAUGGAGUACUUCGGUAUGUAAAGCCCUAUCAGCAGGGAAGAAAAUGACGGUACCUGACUAAGAAGCCCCGGCUAAAUACGUGCCAGCAGCCGCGGUAAUACGUAUGGGGCAAGCGUUAUCCGGAUUUACUGGGUGUAAAGGGAGCGUAGGCGGCGAGUUAAGUCAGCGGUAAAAUUUCGGGGCUCAACCCCGACGAGCCGUUGAAACUGGCUUGCUAGAGUGGG
This 296-nucleotide ribosomal RNA is filed under the name uncultured bacterium. Its description in RNAcentral is "partial 16S ribosomal RNA". It matches the Rfam family "Bacterial small subunit ribosomal RNA", at positions 336 to 650 of the family's 1533-position model. The record is from RNAcentral.